GGCGGUUUGGCGGAGUGGUUAACGCGAUUGACUCGGUAUCAAUUCCAUUCGUGGGCGCAUGUUCGAAUCAUGCAGCCGUCG
This 81-nucleotide transfer RNA is filed under the name Penicillium camemberti FM 013. Its description in RNAcentral is "tRNA-Pro (CGG) (tRNA-Pro-CGG-3-1)". It matches the Rfam family "tRNA". From Rfam's summary of the family: Transfer RNA (tRNA) molecules are approximately 80 nucleotides in length. Their secondary structure includes four short double-helical elements and three loops (D, anti-codon, and T loops). The record is from RNAcentral. Lineage: Eukaryota; Fungi; Ascomycota; Eurotiomycetes; Eurotiales; Aspergillaceae.